This is a long non-coding RNA of Pan troglodytes (chimpanzee), 1792 nucleotides long. RefSeq lists it as uncharacterized. The transcript is spliced from 7 exons. The record is from RefSeq and is a predicted model, not a curated record. Lineage: Eukaryota; Metazoa; Chordata; Mammalia; Primates; Hominidae.
GGCGGCGGCGGCGGCUCCUGGGCCCUUGCUCCCUCCUCCAGCGCCGGGCACUUCCGGGCGGGCCCGGAUUUGCCGCCGCGCUUGGGAAGCCGCCACCGCCGCCGCCGCCGCUGCAUGGCACUAGGCUCCCGGCGGGGCAGGUUCCGCAGCCGGCACCGCUCUGGCUAGGCGCACGGAGGCGCCUUGCUUAGCCUGACCCUUAUUUGGCCAGGCGUAAAACUUGUCCUGCCUAAAAGCUUGCUGAGACCUCCUAACUGGUCUAAUCCGCGGGAGACGCCAAAGGCGGCGGCCGUUUGUGCGCACAGGAUUUUUCUUGGAGCUGUAGCAGUCUAGGAAGCCAGGGUGGAACUUUUGCUAAGCUCCCGUUGUAAGCCCAGAGCUGUAAUAACUGCUGAGACACAACCAGCAGUAUACAGGCUCCAGUUGGAAAUCGAGAACUUUCCAGGGCUGUCUGUCACCCAGGCUGGAGUGCAGUGGUGCCAUCACAGCUCACUGCAGCCUCGACCUCCUAGGCUAAAGUGAUCCUCCCAACUCAGCCUCCCAAGUAGCUGGGACUACAGGAAUGUGCCACGCCCAGAUAGUAAACUCCUGCAAAGCAGAUUGUUUGGUUCUUCUUCCUCCACGGUGCCUGACCCAUCGUUCUGCAGAUAUUAGUCACCACUUGUCUUGAGUGGCUACCUGGGGUUAAGAAAAAAGCUCUGCCCUGAAUGCCAAUGGGAAGGACAGCUGUUGCAGCUCCUGAGUGCAGGCCGAGGAAGGCAUUCACCUUCAUGAAAACCAGGACUACUGUGCAUGACAAUGAACUACUGGAUAGAGACUGAUGCCUUUAAGAUAGUCCUACUUUCAAUCUUCUAUCAUGGAGAAUAUCCAAUCAAAUGAGAAGUGGAACAAGUCAAAACAUGUUCCAGGCAAAAUGAAGGAACAAGGAUGACUGGUGGAGAGUAAGCAGUCUGCGUGGUGUGCUGGCUGGCUGAGGUGGUCUUGUGGAUCUGGGACACUGGAGGAACUGCUGUCCUGGGAGGAAAGUCUGGCAAAGCAAGCCUGGAUCAGUGGAAGGGCUUGAGCAGCAGGCUGAGCAGUAUGGGCUUUGGACUACAGAGAAAGCUAAAACGAAGAUUUACAGAUCACUUCCGGCCACCUGGUACACCAACUUCUGGAGAAUUUCUUGCAGAGCUUAGGUAGAAAUCAAGGCAAAGACUACAAAUGGGAUCCUAAAAUUCACCCUAUGUACUCUCUGGAAAUGCAAUAGUUAUGGGCUGUAUCAAUAAACCUGAGUUGCAUAUGAAGUUCACAUGCAAAAAAGGCCUAGCAGGGAGGUGAGCCUGUCCCAGUUCUGGGGAAAUCUGCAAUUCAACUUGGUCAGGUUACCCAAAGACUUGCUGACUUAUGCUGUUGACUCCACUCUAAAUUUUUCAGAAAGUUGGAAACAAAUUUUCAUUUAGAGCAGAAAAAUGCUUUGGUUUGACUGGGAAUGUGUGUGACUAGUAGAAAAGAUCCAUUGGGAAAUUACACUUCAGUGUCUCACAUACCAAAUUCUUGAGGCUUUCUUGAAAUUUGUCAUUGAAUCAUCUUUUUCACAAAUAUCUUACAAUUUUAGCAUUUUAAAAACUUGGCACAUAAGAAGUAGUUACUACUUUUACUUAUUCAUCAAAGCAUGGGCUUUUAUUUCAGUUCACAAAAUGAUCCUUCCAAAGAAUUAAUAUAUUUUCCAACAUUCCUUCCUUACUUUUACUCAUAAUCUUUUCUGUAUUUCUGUUUUUGCUUAAAUAUAUUAAAUUAUUAUCUGCUUUAC